This 1280-nucleotide long non-coding RNA is filed under the name Taeniopygia guttata (zebra finch). Its description in RNAcentral is "lncRNA (ENSTGUG00000022411.1)". Lineage: Eukaryota; Metazoa; Chordata; Aves; Passeriformes; Estrildidae. The record is from RNAcentral.
CAGCGCCGGGGCUCGGGCCAGCCGCCCUGUCUGGGCCAGAGCUGCAGGAGACACGGAGAUUAGGGCUGGGGGUGAGGGUGUCGGUAGCCAGAACCUCGUAGCACCGAUGGGACAAACCCAGUGCCAGCACAAACCACUCCGCUCCCCCACCCCCCAGAGCGUUUUCGCAAACAACCGUGUCCCUGUGCCACAGGCAGCAGGGACCAAAAAGGCAAGAGACCCUUCUCUGUCCCGAUCGAAACUGGAGGUGCUUCUCCAACACGUCAUGCUUUUGGGUUUGGGAUACCUGGGAUGGGCUCUGUAGGGUCCCUAUGAGAGAAGCUGGAAUUAGCCAUGCCUUAAACCCGAAGAGAAGAGCGGAAGCAACCCUGCCAUGCAUGCUAGCAGUAAUUUCCAGUCCACAUAUUCAUGGAGGGCACUGUGAAAGGUGAUGAAGAAAUCCAGAGUCAUAGUUGCUCCAGAACUAUUUGCAGACAAGUUAUAUUUUAAGAGUCAGAACUUCUGCUGGAAAUUAUUUCAGGGGCAAAAAAAUAGAAGUUUACUGAAGAUUAGUGGAUCUCAUAGAGCUGGAUACACCAAAUCUCAGCACCCUUCUCCCAGACACAGAAACAGAUCAAGUGCUCAAUGGCUCAGGGCUCAGGCUUCCAUCCUGCAUCAAUGGCUAAUUAAUUAGACAAUGCAUAGAAAAACACCUUUAAAAACAAAAAAAAAAGCACAAAAAGACCCACACAGAUCUGUAGUUGAGAAGGCCUCAAAUGGCUUCAGAAAGAAACGGAACCUGAGCCUAGCUCCUUCUCACCCUUGGUGAGCAUCCUAGCGCUAUGGAAUGACCCAGCAGGAGUCCUCCCAGGCAAGUUGUCUGAGACCUGGGCUAGAUUCAUGCUUCCUGAAAUGUUUAGUAACACGAUAAAUAGUGCAGCUGCUUACCGACAGAUUAAAACGUACGUGUUUAAGGCUGUGCCAGAAAACUGAUAGAGUAACACUCCUUAAAGAUGUGUGGGUGCCCUGGGGCACAGUUUGGUUCAGAUCUCAGCUGAGAAGGAAUUCUGAAGACGUGUUUGUGGAGAGAGGUGGAAAAGUGGUGGUGCUCCUGUGAUUGCCUCCACAGAUGCACAGAAAGACUGGUGUGGGAUCCAAUUCAUUUAAACACUGCUUAGCUGGGAUGAAAACAGACAGGAGAUCCUGACAGUGCCCUACUCCUGCUGGCAUGCAUUGCUUACACACCUACUCACAAUCCUUUGCACCACAGUUAAGGUUUGACACUUAGUUUUGGCUGCCUC